Molecule: ribosomal RNA, 301 nt
Filed under: uncultured bacterium
Lineage: Bacteria
Description: partial 16S ribosomal RNA
Rfam family: Bacterial small subunit ribosomal RNA
Source: RNAcentral
CAGUAGCCACGGGAACACGAAGGGGGCUAGCGUUACUCGGAAUUACUGGGCGUAAAGGGCGCGUAGGCGGCGCUCCAAGUUAGGCGUGAAAGUCCUGGGCUCAACCUGGGAACUGCGCUUAAGACUGGAGUGCUUGAGGAUGGAAGAGGGUUGUGGAAUUCCCAGUGUAGAGGUGAAAUUCGUAGAUAUUGGGAAGAACACCGGUGGCGAAGGCGGCAACCUGGUCCAUUACUGACGCUGAGGCGCGACAGCGUGGGGAGCAAACAGGAUUAGAUACCCGCGUAGUCCCUGUCUCUUAUAA